CCUACUGGAGGCAGCAGUGAGGAAUAUUGGUCAAUGGGCGGAAGCCUGAACCAGCAAAGUAGCGUGCAGGAUGACGGCCCUACGGGUGGUAAAUUGCUUUUAUACGGGAAUAACGCGCCUUACGUGUAGGGAUUGGAAUGUACCGCAUGAAUCAGGACCGGCUAAUUCCGUGCCAGCAGCCGCGGUAAUACGGAAGGUCCGGGCGUUAUCCGGAUUUAGUGGGGUUAAAGGGAGCGUAGGCGGAAUGUCAAGCGUGAUGUGAAAUGGCCGGGCUCAACCCGGGCCUUGCAGCGCGAACUGGCGUGCUUGAGUCCGCGGAAGGCAGGCGGAAUUCGUGGUGUAGCGGUGAAAUGCUUAGAUAUGACGAAGAACCCCGAUUGCGAAGGCGGCUUGCUGCAGCGGAACUGACGCUGAUGCUCGAAAGCGCGGGUAUCGAACAGGAUUAGAUACCCUUGUAGUC
Molecule: ribosomal RNA, 460 nt
Filed under: uncultured bacterium
Lineage: Bacteria
Description: partial 16S ribosomal RNA
Rfam family: Bacterial small subunit ribosomal RNA
Source: RNAcentral